AUUGAACGCUGGCGGCAUGCCUUACACAUGCAAGUCGAGCGGCAGCGCGGGGGCAACUCUGGCGGCGAGCGGCGAACGGGUGAGUAAUACAUCGGAACGUGUCCAGUAGCGGGGGAUAACCUGUCGAAAGAUAGGCUAAUACCGCAUACGACCUACGGGUGAAAGCGGGGGACCGCAAGGCCUCGCACUAUUGGAGCGGCCGAUGUCGGAUUAGCUAGUUGGCGGGGUAAUGGCCCACCAAGGCGACGAUCCGUAGCUGGUCUGAGAGGACGACCAGCCACACUGGAACUGAGACACGGUCCAGACUCCUACGGGAGGCAGCAGUGGGGAAUUUUGGACAAUGGGCGCAAGCCUGAUCCAGCCAUGCCGCGUGAGUGAAGAAGGCCUUCGGGUUGUAAAGCUCUUUCGGCGGGGACGAAACGGUCCGUGACAACACCACGGACUAAUGACUGUACUCGCAGAAGAAGCACCGGCUAACUACGCGC
This 485-nucleotide ribosomal RNA is filed under the name uncultured bacterium. RNAcentral's name for it is "bacterial SSU rRNA". It matches the Rfam family "Bacterial small subunit ribosomal RNA", at positions 29 to 508 of the family's 1533-position model. The record is from RNAcentral.